AGUGAACGCUGGCGGUAGGCCUAACACAUGCAAGUCGAACGGCAGCACAGUAAGAGCUUGCUCUUACGGGUGGCGAGUGGCGGACGGGUGAGGAAUACAUCGGAAUCUACUUUUUCGUGGGGGAUAACGUAGGGAAACUUACGCUAAUACCGCAUACGACCUACGGGUGAAAGCAGGGGAUCUUCGGACCUUGCGCGAUUGAAUGAGCCGAUGUCGGAUUAGCUAGUUGGCGGGGUAAAGGCCCACCAAGGCAACGAUCCGUAGCGGGUCCGAGAGGAUGAUCAGCCCCACUGGACCUGAAACCCGGUCCAGACUCCUACGGGAGGCAGCAGUGGGGAAUAUUGGACAAUGGGCGCAAGCCUGAUCCAGCCAUACCGCGUGGGUGAAGAAGGCCUUCGGGUUGUAAAGCCCUUUUGUUGGGAAAGAAAAGCAGCAGGUUAAUACCCCGCUGUUCUGACGGUACCCAAAGAAUAAGCACCGGCUACCUUCGU
This 491-nucleotide ribosomal RNA is filed under the name uncultured bacterium. RNAcentral's name for it is "partial 16S ribosomal RNA". It matches the Rfam family "Bacterial small subunit ribosomal RNA", at positions 29 to 506 of the family's 1533-position model. The record is from RNAcentral.